Molecule: non-coding RNA, 810 nt
Organism: Monodelphis domestica (gray short-tailed opossum)
Lineage: Eukaryota; Metazoa; Chordata; Mammalia; Didelphimorphia; Didelphidae
Source: RefSeq, a predicted model, not a curated record
GGCUCUUGUGGCAGAGAGGUAGCUGGUGGCAGUGUGCUGAGUGUCUUAUCAUCUUGGCAUGGCUGCAGCUGUUUUCUGGGUUUGGCAGUGAGCAUCAUUGAUACAGUAACUGGGAAAAGCUUAAUAUCAUAGGUCAGACUUAUUCCACAAAAGGAGAAAAAGGAAUAGGAUGGUCAUUAUACAGGUUCUCUUUAAAAGCUGAAAGGCCAGGGGCCAACAGAAGGGACUGAAGCAACUGAAUGCCUUGAAGAGACUGAAGCAAUACAAAGCUCCCUUCUCUCCUGCUCUCACCAACUCUUCCUUGCCCCUCUCAGGUGGCAAUUCCAGGAUCACAAUAUCAAAAAAUGAAAAUAUAGUCUCAGAUAAAUCAAGAAAGCAGGUGUCCAAAGAGGCUUGGCCUCAAAUGAGGAAAUUUGAUUGCAUCUAUGCAGUGAUAGAGCCACUAUCCUUUGGCAUCUUUUUCUAUACAACUCAGACUCUUCUCAAUUCACUUCAACAAAUAAGAAUUUCUAAAGCAUUCAUUACACACUCAUACUGCACUCAUGCAUCCACAGCUGCACGCGCAAGAACACAAUUCUUUUAGAUCAUAACCCAUUGAACACCACUGUUUUUUUUUUUCCUCAACAACUGUUUACUGAGUAUGGGAAAGAAUAUGCAAAAAAGCCAUAACAGUACACUGUUAUUAUCCAGCUACAUCUACCAGACCAUUCCAGAAGUCCCAAAAUAUCUAAACUCCUCUCAUUAUACCAAAAAGAAAUGGCGAGCAUUCUUAUGAGCUACCAACAAAUGAAAGGGUGGUAAUAAAUUAUU